UGUAGUCAUAUGCUUGUCUCAAAGAUUAAGCCAUGCAUGUCUAAGUAUAAGCAAUCUAUACUGUGAAACUGCGAAUGGCUCAUUAAAUCAGUUAUCGUUUAUUUGAUAGUACCUUACUACUUGGAUAACCGUGGUAAUUCUAGAGCUAAUACAUGCUAAAAACCCCGACUUUUGGAGGGGUGUAUUUAUUAGAUAAAAAACCAAUGCCCUUCGGGGCUCCUUGGUGAUUCAUAAUAACUUAACGAAUCGCAUAGCCUUGUGCUGGCGAUGGUUCAUUCAAAUUUCUGCCCUAUCAACUUUCGAUGGUUAGGUCUUGGCUAACCAUGGUUUCAACGGGUAACGGGGAAUUAGGGUUCUAUUCCGGAGAGUGAGCCUGAGAAACGGCUAACACAUCCAAGGAAGGCAGCAGGUGCGCAAAUUACCCAAUCCCGACACGGGGAGGUAGUGACAAUAAAUACUGAUCCAGGGCUCUUUUGGGUCUUGGAAUUGGAAUGAGUACAAUUUAAAUCCCUUAACGAGGAACAAUUGGAGGGCAAGUCUGGU
RNAcentral lists this ribosomal RNA (543 nucleotides) under uncultured eukaryote. RNAcentral describes it as "SSU rRNA". It matches the Rfam family "Eukaryotic small subunit ribosomal RNA", at positions 21 to 565 of the family's 1831-position model. The record is from RNAcentral.